RNAcentral lists this long non-coding RNA (1614 nucleotides) under Ananas comosus (pineapple). RNAcentral describes it as "long non-coding RNA (ACOM_LNC000064)". Lineage: Eukaryota; Viridiplantae; Streptophyta; Magnoliopsida; Poales; Bromeliaceae. The record is from RNAcentral.
ACUUAUCAUCACUUCUACAUUCCAUUAAAGAGAUAUCACCAUUUCCCCCACAAAAAAUGUGAAUCCCAAAUUCCUCAAUUCAUAUCACACACAAAAAAUGUGAAUCCCAAAUUCGUUAAAUCAUUUCACAAUUUAGUGAUGACACUCCAGACAUCUCCUCACAAAAAAUGUGAAUCCCAAAUUCGUCAAUUCAUUUCACAAUUUAGUGAUGACACUCAAGACAUCUCCCCACAAAAAAUAUGAAUCCCAAAUUUCUCAAUUCAUUUCACAAUUUAGUGAUGACACUCCACACAUCUCACUAGCUAGUAACCUAGUUAUCUCCCACCAAACGCCAAAACCCUAAAGCCUAACAUCUAGAGAGAGAAACUAAGACUAAACCAUACAAAAAUCAGAAAAGAGACAACUGAAAUUAGUGUUUCCCUUCUCGGAUUACAAGGAGAAGAUCAACGAUGUAAUUGUUGUAUUGCGUUCGAAUCCAGCGAUGGUUUGGGAUCGAACGAUGACGGGGCUUUGACGAGCGGAGAGACUGAACCUUUUUUUUUUUCUGAGAAAGAGAAAGAGAUCGAGCUUUUUUUUUUUUUUGAGAAAAAGAGACCAAGCGUUUUUGUUUUUGUUUUUACUUCAAAACCUCCACGUGGUUUCGUACUUUUUCACUUUAGUAUAGAGAUGUCAACAGGUCGGAUUCGGAACGGAUUUUUAAAAACCCGAACCCGAACCCGACUCCAAACCCAAGAUUUGAACCCGAACCCGAGCCCGACGGAUUUUAAAAAUCCAUAUCCAAACCCGAACCCGACCAAAAAUUUGAAACCUGAGCCCGAAUCCGAACCCGAAAAUUUGAACCAAAAAUAAUUAUUUUUUUUUUCAAUAUUUCAAAAUAUAUUAUAUUAAAUCUAAAUUUUUAAAAUACANAUAUAUAUAUAUAUAUAUAUAUAUAUAAUACAAAAUAAAUUCGGGUUCGGGUCGGGUAUAGUCAAAAUUCAUAUCUGAAUCUAUAUCCGUCGGGUUUCUAUUUUUGAUAUUUAUAUCCAAAUCCAUAUCCAUUUAGCAUCGGAUAUAUCCAUUUCAAUCGGGUUCGGGUUCGGGUUCAGAUAAAAUUUCGAGUAUCCAUACCCAUUGACAUCCCUACUUUAGUACCCUGUGGUUUAAAGUGUAUCAAGUUAGUACCUGUGGUUUCAAACUUUCUCACUUUAGCACCCUGUGGUUUAAAGUGUAUCAAGUUAGUACUCUACGGUUUCAUUUUUGUAUUAAGUUAGUACCCUGUGGUUUCAUUUUUCUCUUUUCUUAUCCAUUUCGGGGUAGUUUUUUCGUUAAAUUAGUAACAAAGUUAAAACUAAAGGGUACUAAAAUAAAUAUUCGAUAAACUUAGGUAGGGUAUCUGAAGUUUUUUUGUAUAUAAUUUAAAGAAAUAUUAAACCACAGGUGCUAAAGUGAGAAAGUACGAAACCAUAAGGUACUAAUUUGAUACACUUUAAACUAUAGAAUACUAAAGUGAGAAAAUGCGAAACCACAGGGUACUAACUUGAUACACUUUAAACUACAGAAUACUGAAAUGAAAAAGUGCGAAACCAUAGAGGGUAUUUGAAGUUUUCCUUUUGUUUUGAGAGAAAGAGACCG